Molecule: long non-coding RNA, 301 nt
Filed under: Gallus gallus (chicken)
Lineage: Eukaryota; Metazoa; Chordata; Aves; Galliformes; Phasianidae
Source: RNAcentral
GGUGGGCACAUGCAGUCUGACGGAGCCUCUCUCACCGUCCGCAGCUUCGCGAGUCCUUCGCCCAGCUUCUCGCGCAGGAGCUGCUCCACGCGGGGCUGCAGCGCGUCCAGCAGCGGCCCGGGGCCGGCGGCGCCGCGCUCCUCCAGGGCGGCCAGGCGGCCCUGCAGCUCGGCGGUCUUAGCGCCCAGCAGCAGACACACGGCCACGGCGGUGAGCGAGAGGAGCAGGCACAGCGCGGAGGUGGCGGUGCCCGCCGAGCCGCUGCCGCCCGCGCUCAUCGCGCCGCGAUCGGACCCGCUCG